Molecule: long non-coding RNA, 218 nt
Filed under: Elaeis guineensis (African oil palm)
Lineage: Eukaryota; Viridiplantae; Streptophyta; Magnoliopsida; Arecales; Arecaceae
Description: long non-coding RNA (EGUI_LNC033127)
Source: RNAcentral
AAGGACUCAGUUUCUUAAAUCUCUUAGGACUACUUCCUUCUGCUAGGAUUGAUAGAUUCUAUCUAAGUACCCCUACUUCUGUAAUAGACCAACUAUUUCCAACAUCUACUACAAAGACUCAUUGAGUUAAUAUUUAUGUGUGAUCGAACUUCGACAGCCUUACUACGAGUAGUUGUAGCACCGCAGGUCAAAAGAUCAGUCACACUAUUGCAGCAUCG